RNAcentral lists this non-coding RNA (21 nucleotides) under Rattus norvegicus (Norway rat). Lineage: Eukaryota; Metazoa; Chordata; Mammalia; Rodentia; Muridae. The record is from RNAcentral.
UCAAUAAAAAGUGAGCACUGC